CGCCGGUGACAAACCGGAGGAAGGUGGGGAUGACGUCAAGUCAUCAUGGCCCUUACGGCCUGGGCUACACACGUGCUACAAUGGUCGGUACAAAGGGUUGCCAAGCCGCGAGGUGGAGCUAAUCCCAUAAAACCGAUCGUAGUCCGGAUCGCAGUCUGCAACUCGACUGCGUGAAGUCGGAAUCGCUAGUAAUCGUGAAUCAGAAUGUCACGGUGAAUACGUUCCCGGGCCUU
RNAcentral lists this ribosomal RNA (233 nucleotides) under uncultured Pseudomonas sp. Its description in RNAcentral is "partial 16S ribosomal RNA". It matches the Rfam family "Bacterial small subunit ribosomal RNA", at positions 1150 to 1382 of the family's 1533-position model. Lineage: Bacteria; Pseudomonadati; Pseudomonadota; Gammaproteobacteria; Pseudomonadales; Pseudomonadaceae. The record is from RNAcentral.